This 134-nucleotide small nucleolar RNA is filed under the name Carlito syrichta (Philippine tarsier). RNAcentral describes it as "Small nucleolar RNA SNORA70 (ENSTSYG00000021711.2)". It matches the Rfam family "Small nucleolar RNA SNORA70". Rfam says of the family: snoRNA U70 seems to be exclusive to mammals and is a member of the H/ACA class of snoRNA which contain H (ANANNA) and ACA box motifs. H/ACA box snoRNAs are involved in the conversion of uridines to pseudouridines (5-ribosyluracil) a constituent of structural RNAs (transfer, ribosomal, small nuclear, and small nucleolar). Lineage: Eukaryota; Metazoa; Chordata; Mammalia; Primates; Tarsiidae. The record is from Rfam by way of RNAcentral.
CUGCAGCCAAGUAAGCCGACCGUGUUCCUUUCCUCGUGGGGACCCGGUGUGCAAUGGCUGCAAACAGCAGCUUCCUUGGUAGUGUACGCAGGCUGUUUCUUGUAUAGGUUGCUCUUAGGACCUUGGAGACAGCC